Molecule: ribosomal RNA, 295 nt
Filed under: uncultured bacterium
Lineage: Bacteria
Description: partial 16S ribosomal RNA
Rfam family: Bacterial small subunit ribosomal RNA
Source: RNAcentral
UAAUCCCUACGGGGCGCAGCAGUCGAGAAUCAUUCACAAUGGGGGAAACCCUGAUGGUGCGACGCCGCGUGGGGGAAUGAAGGUCUUCGGAUUGUAAACCCCUGUCGUGUGGGAGCAAAUUAAAAAGAUAGUACCACAAGAGGAAGAGACGGCUAACUCUGUGCCAGCAGCCGCGGUAAUACAGAGGUCUCAAGCGUUGUUCGGAAUCACUGGGCGUAAAGCGUGCGUAGGCUGUUUCGUAAGUCGUGUGUGAAAGGCGCGGGCUCAACCCGCGGACGGCACAUGAUCAUGCGAG